This 501-nucleotide ribosomal RNA is filed under the name uncultured bacterium. RNAcentral's name for it is "partial 16S ribosomal RNA". It matches the Rfam family "Bacterial small subunit ribosomal RNA", at positions 29 to 523 of the family's 1533-position model. The record is from RNAcentral.
AUUGAACGCUGGCGGCAUGCCUUACACAUGCAAGUCGAACGGCAGCACGGGAGCAAUCCUGGUGGCGAGUGGCGAACGGGUGAGUAAAGUAUCGGAACGUGCCCAGUCGUGGGGGAUAACGUAGCGAAAGUUACGCUAAUACCGCAUACGAUCUACGGAUGAAAGGGGGGGAUGGCAAGACCGCGCGCGAAUGGAGCCGGUGAAAUCAGAUUAGGUAGUUGGUGGGGUAAAGGCUCACCAAGCCGACGAUCUGUAGCUGGUCUGACGGGGACGACCAGCCACACUGGGACUGAGACACGGCCCAGACUCCUACGGGAGGCAGCAGUGGGGAAUUUUGGACAAUGGGCGCAAGCCUGAUCCAGCCAUGCCGCGUGCAGGAUGAAGGCCUUCGGGUUGUAAACUGCUUUUGUACGGAACGAAAAGGUUUGGCCUAAUAAGCUGGACCCAUGACGGUACCGUAAGAAUAAGCACCGGCUAACUACGUGCCAGCCGCCGCAGUAA